Long non-coding RNA from Populus trichocarpa (black cottonwood), 607 nucleotides. RefSeq lists it as uncharacterized. The transcript has 3 exons. The record is from RefSeq and is a predicted model, not a curated record. Lineage: Eukaryota; Viridiplantae; Streptophyta; Magnoliopsida; Malpighiales; Salicaceae.
UGUAAAAUCUUGGUUAAAACUUGAAAACCAGUAAAAUUGAUCAAACUCGCAUAAAAAUAGGUCAACUCAUAAAUUUCACGUGAAAUUUAAACAAAUGCUCCUGUGCUGACUCAACACUUCCUUUUCCCAGUCCACCCCCACCCGUCGUGACCGACACUCCACUCCAGUGACUCCACACUUCGUCCUUGUCUCCCUAACUCCUUUCCCCUUUUUCCUUUUCCCUUUUCCCAGCAAAUUAAGAAAUCACUUUCCCCAGAUCUAGAGCAUUCUUGGCGUUGGUGAGACGAAGAGUCUGCAUAGACAACGAAGCAUACCAAGAUUGCACUUUUGUCAAGCUCGACAUGACAUGCAGGCAAUUUACUGAUACGAGCUUUUCUCAAGCCUGUUCCAUGACUGUGUUAGGUAAUGAGAGUCCUUCAUAAGUUGGUGCAAAUCUGCUCAAUGUGUAUGUAUGGGUCAAUGAGGGAGUUUCUUCCCAUUCUAGUACAGUGGUUAAAAAAUUUAUAUUCAGUUAAUUCUUGUAACAUGUCUAAAAGUGAUGGUCUGGUUGCAAAGUAAGGCCUGAAGCUAUCUUUUUCUAUAUAUCAAUUAGUUUUAGAUUUUUGAA